CAGUAGCCGCGGUAAUACGUAUGUCACGAGCGUUAUCCGGAUUUAUUGGGCGUAAAGCGCGUCUAGGUGGUUAUAUAAGUCUGAUGUGAAAAUGCAGGGCUCAACUCUGUAUUGCGUUGGAAACUGUAUAACUAGAGUACUGGAGAGGUAAGCGGAACUACAAGUGUAGAGGUGAAAUUCGUAGAUAUUUGUAGGAAUGCCGAUGGGGAAGCCAGCUUACUGGACAGAUACUGACGCUGAAGCGCGAAAGCGUGGGUAGCAAACAGGAUUAGAUACCCGUGUAGUCCCUGUCUCUUAUACA
RNAcentral lists this ribosomal RNA (301 nucleotides) under uncultured bacterium. RNAcentral describes it as "partial 16S ribosomal RNA". It matches the Rfam family "Bacterial small subunit ribosomal RNA", at positions 509 to 808 of the family's 1533-position model. The record is from RNAcentral.